This 85-nucleotide transfer RNA is filed under the name Candidatus Taylorbacteria bacterium RIFCSPHIGHO2_01_FULL_45_63. Its description in RNAcentral is "tRNA-Leu". It matches the Rfam family "tRNA". Rfam says of the family: Transfer RNA (tRNA) molecules are approximately 80 nucleotides in length. Lineage: Bacteria; Candidatus Tayloriibacteriota. The record is from RNAcentral. RNAcentral also lists the same sequence under 2 other names.
GGGCAGGUGGCGUAACUGGUAGCCGCGCUAGUCUUAGGAACUAGUGGAGUAAUCCAUGGGAGUUCGAGUCUCCCCCUGCCCACAA